GAGUUUGAUUAUGGCUCAGGAUGAACGCUAGCGAUAGGCUUAACACAUGCAAGUCGAGGGGCAUCACGGGAUUAGCUUGCUAAUCUUGGUGGCGACCGGCGUAAGGGUGCGUAACGCGUAUGCAACUUGCCUGUCAGUGGGGAAUAACCCGGAGAAAUCCGGACUAAUACCGCAUACACUUUGGUUUCCGCAUGGGGACUUUAGGAAAGAUUUAUUGCUGACAGAUAGGCAUGCGUUCUAUUAGAUAGUUGGUGAGGUAACGGCUCACCAAGUCAACGAUGGAUAGGGGAGCUGAGAGGCUUAUCCCCCACACUGGAACUGAGACACGGUCCAGACUCCUACGGGAGGCAGCAGUGAGGAAUAUUGGUCAAUGGGCGAGAGCCUGAACCAGCCAAGUCGCGUGAAGGAAGACGGUCCUAUGGAUUGUAAACUUCUUUAGUAGGUGAGUACAAGCAGUUACGUGUAGCUGU
This 470-nucleotide ribosomal RNA is filed under the name Porphyromonas cangingivalis. RNAcentral describes it as "bacterial SSU rRNA". It matches the Rfam family "Bacterial small subunit ribosomal RNA", at positions 9 to 468 of the family's 1533-position model. The record is from RNAcentral. Lineage: Bacteria; Pseudomonadati; Bacteroidota; Bacteroidia; Bacteroidales; Porphyromonadaceae.